UCGGGAAUAUUGGACAAUGGGCGAAAGCCUGAUCCAGCAAUACCGCGUGUGUGAAGAAGGCCUGCGGGUUGUAAAGCACUUUCAGUUGGGAAGAUAAUGACGUUACCAACAGAAGAAGCACCGGCUAACUCCGUGCCAGCAGCCGCGGUAAUACGGAGGGUGCAAGCGUUAAUCGGAAUUACUGGGCGUAAAGCGCACGUAGGCGGUUUAUUAAGUCGGAUGUGAAAGCCCCGGGCUCAACCUGGGAACUGCAUACGAUACUGGUAGACUAGAAUUUGGGAGAGGUAAGUGGAAUUUCCGGUGUAGCGGUGAAAUGCAUAGAGAUCGGAAGGAACACCAGUGGCGAAGGCGACUUACUGGGCCAAAAUUGACGCUGAGGUGCGAAAGCGUGGGUAGCAAACA
Molecule: ribosomal RNA, 402 nt
Filed under: uncultured Gammaproteobacteria bacterium
Lineage: Bacteria; Pseudomonadati; Pseudomonadota; Gammaproteobacteria
Description: bacterial SSU rRNA
Rfam family: Bacterial small subunit ribosomal RNA
Source: RNAcentral